ACACAUGCAAGUCGAACGGUAACAGGAAGCAGCUUGCUGCUUYGCUGACGAGUGGCGGACGGGUGAGUAAUGUCUGGGAAACUGCCUGAUGGAGGGGGAUAACUACUGGAAACGGUAGCUAAUACCGCAUAACGUCGCAAGACCAAAGAGGGGGACCUUCGGGCCUCUUGCCAUCGGAUGUGCCCAGAUGGGAUUAGCUAGUAGGUGGGGUAACGGCUCACCUAGGCGACGAUCCCUAGCUGGUCUGAGAGGAUGACCAGCCACACUGGAACUGAGACACGGUCCAGACUCCUACGGGAGGCAGCAGUGGGGAAUAUUGCACAAUGGGCGCAAGCCUGAUGCAGCCAUGCCGCGUGUAUGAAGAAGGCCUUCGGGUUGUAAAGUACUUUCAGCGGGGAGGAAGGCGAUAAGGUUAAUAACCUUGUCGAUUGACGUUACCCGCAGAAGAAGCACCGGCUAACUCCGUGCCAGCAGCCGCGGUAAUACGGAGGGUGCAAGCGUUAAUCGGAAUUACUGGGCGUAAAGCGCACGCAGGCGGUCUGUCAAGUCGGAUGUGAAAUCCCCGGGCUCAACCUGGGAACUGCAUUCGAAACUGGCAGGCUAGAGUCUUGUAGAGGGGGGUAGAAUUCCAGGUGUAGCGGUGAAAUGCGUAGAGAUCUGGAGGAAUACCGGUGGCGAAGGCGGGCCCCCUGGACAAAGACUGACGCUCAGG
This 712-nucleotide ribosomal RNA is filed under the name Enterobacter hormaechei. Its description in RNAcentral is "bacterial SSU rRNA". The record is from RNAcentral. Lineage: Bacteria; Pseudomonadati; Pseudomonadota; Gammaproteobacteria; Enterobacterales; Enterobacteriaceae.